This 443-nucleotide ribosomal RNA is filed under the name uncultured bacterium. RNAcentral describes it as "partial 16S ribosomal RNA". It matches the Rfam family "Bacterial small subunit ribosomal RNA", at positions 338 to 795 of the family's 1533-position model. The record is from RNAcentral.
CCUACGGGGGGCAGCAGUGGGGAAUAUUGGACAAUGGGGGGAACCCUGAUGCAGCGACGCCGCGUGAGUGAAGAAGUAUUUCGGUAUGUAAAGCUCUAUCAGCAGGGAAGAAAGACAUGACGGUACCUGACUAAGACGCGGCUGCUAACUACGUGCCAGCAGCGGCGGUAAGACGUAGGGGGCAGGCGUUCUCCGGAUUUACUGGGUGUAAAGGGAGCGUAGACGGCGAUGCAAGUCUGAAGUGAAAGGCGGGGGCCCAACCCCCGGACUGCUGUGGAAACUGUAUGGCUGGAGUGCAGGAGAGGUAAGUGGAAUUCCUAGUGUAGCGGUGAAAUGCGUAGAUAUUAGGAGGAACACCAGUGGCGAAGGCGGCUUACUGGACUGUAACUGACAUUGAUGCUCGAAAGUGUGGGUAUCAAACAGGAUUAGAUACCCUGGUAGUC